Long non-coding RNA from Grus americana (Whooping crane), 524 nucleotides. RefSeq lists it as uncharacterized. NCBI's taxonomy places the organism in Eukaryota, Metazoa, Chordata, Aves, Gruiformes, Gruidae. The transcript is spliced from 3 exons. The record is from RefSeq and is a predicted model, not a curated record.
AGGCCGGCCGCACCGGUGAGGGCCGCACGGAGCGGCGGCGGCGCCGACACGGCGGGACCAGCCACCUCUCGCCUCCCCGGCACCGGGAGGCGGCCGCGCAGUGUCACGCAGAUGGUGCAUUAGAAGCAGAGAGCAGGCCCGCUCCCCGGGGAUGGCAGGACUUGCAUUGGUUACGGUGUGGUAACCAGUAGACCAGAGCCUUUUCUGUGUAAAGUGGUGAACAUUCAAAGACCUACCACAUGAAGUCCCAGUCCUGCAGACAUGCGGGGAGAGCUUCCCAUGCGUCCAGAGGCCCACUACAGCCAACAGAAACAUCAAAGAUCACUUUUGAAGCAUGUCAAUUACUUGAGUCUCCAUUGAUUACCCAGUUCCUGUGGAUACUGCUGUCUGUCAUCGCUGCUGAACACUGAUUACUAUUCAAGAGCCUGUCAUACCAUAGAAUAUUUUUGUAAAACCAAACUGGUUUGCUUCAGACACACAAGACCUAGGAAUUCAAAUGGCCAGCCCCAGUCUCCAAGAACUAA